Molecule: long non-coding RNA, 17040 nt
Organism: Homo sapiens (human)
Lineage: Eukaryota; Metazoa; Chordata; Mammalia; Primates; Hominidae
Exons: 7
Source: RefSeq, a predicted model, not a curated record
GGCAGGCAGGAAUGUUUAAGUCUGCUGAAGCUGCGCCCACAGCUGCCCCUUCCCCCAGGUGCUCUGUCCCAUGGGGGUGGGAGUUUUAUAGGGCUACUGCCUUUCUGUCAGAGAUGCCCAGCCCAGAGAGGAGGAAUCUAGAGAGGUAGGCUGGCUACGGUGGCUUUGCCGAGCUGUGGUGGGCUUCACCCAGUUAGAACUUCCCAGCAGCUUUGUAUACACUGUAAGGGGAAAACAGCCUACUCAAGCCUCAGAAAUGGCAGACUCCCCUCCUCCCACCAAGCUCGAGCCUCCCAGGUCGACUUCAGACUGCUGUUCUGGCAGCAAGAAUUUCAAGCCACUGAAUCUUAGCUUGCUGGGCUUUGUGGGGGUGAAAUCCACUGAGCUAGAACACUUGGCUCCCUGGCUUCAGCCCCCUUUCCAGGUGAAUGAACGGUUCUGUCUUACUGGCGUUCCAGGCAUCACUGGGGUACGGAAAAAAAAAAAACUGCAGCUAGCUCGGUGUCUGCCCAAAUAGCCGCCCGGUUUUGUGCUUGAAACCCAGGUCCCUGGUGGUGUAGGCACCUGAGGGAAUCUCCUGGUCUGUGGGUUGUGGAGACCCUGGGAAAAGCAUAGUAUCUGGGCCGGAAUGCACUGUUCCUCACGGCACAGUCCCUCACAGCUUACCUUGGCUAGGGGAGGGAGUUCCCUGACCCCUUACACUUCCUGGGUGAGGCAACGCCUCACCCUGCUUCAGCUCAGCCUCCAUGGGCUGUACCACUGUCUAACCAGUCCCAAUGAGAUGAGUAGGGUACCUCAGUUGAAAAUGCAGAAAUCACCUGCCUUCUAUGCCGAUCUUGCUGGGAGCUGCAGACAGGAGCUGUUCCUAUUUGGCCACCUUGCCAGCCACUGUGAACUGUGACUUUUUAGUGUAUAUGUGUUCAUUCAACAAAUAUUUAUUGGGCACCUACAUAUAUGCCAGACAUGUUCUACCCUUGAGAUGCAUCAGUGAACAAAGUAACAAAAAGCCCUUACAUUCUAGUGGAGGGAGACUGAUAAUGAAAUAUUAAUGAGCAAAUAAAAUUCUAUAGCAUAUUGAAAGGUGGUAAGUACAAUGGAGACAAAAAAGAUGAGCAGAGCAAAUAGGACAAGAUGUGGAGGGAUAGGGUCAUUGCAGCAUUCCACAAGAAGUCUCGUUGAAUAAUUAACAACUAAGCAAAGACUGGAAGCAAGUCUUCAAGGAACUUGCCAUGUAGAUACCUGGAAGAAUAUUCUAUGCAAAGAAAACAACUAGAACAAAGGUGCAAAGCAGAUAUGUGCCUGUUACCAAAGGUUGUGUGGCUGGAGUGGACUCAGGGCCGGUGAUAGUAACAGGGCAGGGCAGAGAAGUAACACAAUCAUGGGGAGUGAGAUCAUGGAGGGCUUUGUGUUAGGGCGAUUAUUGUUCAAAUCAGGACAUUUCUGAGAGUGAAACAGGGCACUGUUGGUGAGGGCAGUAACUGUGGAGUGAUAAGUACCCAGAUUCUAGAUAUAUUUUUGAAGGUAGAGCCUGUAGGAUUUUUUCUGAUACGAGAGGAUUUUUAAUCAAGGAUAACCAUAAGACUUUUGACUUGAGCCAUUGCAAGGAUGGAUUUUCCAACAAGAGAAAUAGGGAAGUGGAGGUAAAUCAGGUACUGUUAGCAGGGAUUCAGGAGUUCAGUCAUGGAUGUAUGGGAUUUGAAGUGCCUGUUAGAUAUCCAAGUGGCAAUAUUUUGUAGGCAGUUACAUGAGCAGGCAUUAAGGAGAGAAGUCUGGGCUGGAUUCAUCAGCAUGCAUAUGGACUUUUAAACCAUGACCUUGCAUGAGAUCACCAAGGGAGUGAGUCUGGGUAUAAUAAAUAAAGUUACCGAGAACUCGGUCCUGGAGCUACCCAACAUUAGUGGUUAGAAAAGAAAGAACUAGCAAAGACGUUGAAAAUAAGUAACCUUAUAGAUAACUGAGAGACAGUGGUGUCCCAGAAGCCAACUGCAGGGGGCGUGAUUGUAGUAUCAGAUACUACUUAUAGUUCAAAUGAGUUAAAGGGCAGAAGUUAACCACUGGCUUUACCUAUGUGGAGGUCUUAGUAGACCUUAGUAGACUUACCAGUUUUGGUAAAGUGAUAAGGAUGCUUAUAGCGGGGUUAAGAGAAUGAGAAUUGGGGACUGUGAGUAUGGACAGCACUUAUAAGGAGCUCUCCUACACACAAGGGAGCAAAUAAGGCACUAGCAGAAGAAAGAGUUGGAAGUGCUUUACAUAGGGCCUUUGAUGCUGGGCAAAAGAGUUUUUUUAAUUUUAAGCAUUUUUUUUUUCAAAUUUAAGUAAUAUUUUGAGAAGAGAUGAUAUGGAUACUGGAGCCAGACUACCUGGAUUAACGAAUGUGAUCUUGGACAAGUUACUUACCUGGGCCUCAUUUUAUACUUUGGAUAAAGAUAAUAAUAGGAAUAUUCUUAGCAGCUUACUAGAAUUAAACAACCAUACAAAGGGCUCAGCAGCAUACUUGCCUGAUGGGAUUUGAUAAAUGUAUUUUUAUUACUUGUUAUUAUGCUCAAUAUUAUCAGAGCUGUACCUUAAUAAUUUUAAAACAUAUUAUUCUAGGCCCGGCGCAGUGGCUCACGCCUUUAAUCCCAGCACUUUGGGAGGCCAACGUGGGCGGAUCACAAGGUCAGGAGAUCAAGACCAUCCUGGCCAACAUGGUGAAACCCCGUCUCUACUAAAAAUACAAAAAGUAGCUGAGCGUGGUGGUGUGUGCCUGUAAUCCCAGCCACUCAGGGGGCUGAGGCAGGAGAAUUGCUUGAACCAGGGAGUUGGAGGUUGCAGUGAGCUGAGAUGGCACCAGUGCAGUCUAGCCUGGCAACAGAGUGAGACUCCGUCUAAAAAAAUAUAUAUAUAUAUAUAUAUAUACAUAUAUAUAUAAAAUUCUGCCAUAUUCUAUUUUUCUCAUCAAUACAGAGAAAAGAUGUAACAGACCUAUCAGUAAUAGAUCCUAAUAAACAGAUGAGAGAAUGGUGGAAGAGUGGGCAGCACCUAUAUUUAGAAAUAACCAGCCCUCCCUUGAAGGGUAAUUCUGAUAGCAUCCCCCAUGAACAUUCCUUUCCCCAAGUUAGGAGUCAUUUACUGGAUAUUUAUGGAAUGUCCCUCUUGAUCUCAUUUGGAGUUCUGGUUCCAGUGCCACACUAUCUCACCUGGAAAUCAGUGCUAGUAACUCUUCCUUGGAGUAUCGGUGCCACUGUAGGGCAUAGAAAUAAUUUUGUGAGAACAUCUUUUUUCUACUUCUGUGAGCUCAGCUCAACUUUGAAUAUUAUUUGUUUCAUUUAAGUUAAAUAAACUGGCAUAAAGACAGAGUUCUCUCCCUGCAUUUCAGACCAGAAGGUCUAGGAAGUAAAACUCUUAUCCAGUUCAUUUUCUGUCUUGAUACAUUGUUCACUCUUGGGACAAUCCUGGGCUCUUUCAGUUGGCGUUAGCUGCUCCUGCUGGCAGAAGUUCCAAUUCCUUGCCCUGGUGUUUCUGGGUCUGUGAUCUCUCAAAUGUUGUAUUUAAUACAUAUUAAGUGGCAAUAAUAAUUUCCCUCCCAUUUCACUUGGCCUCAUAUCUUGGAAUCUGGACUUGGCAUCCAGCUUCUCUUUUUCACUUGUGUCCUAAAGUUGUGUAUGCAGUCGGUUGGCUCUGGUAGAAAGGAUUCCAGAUGAAACAUUAGAACCCCCUCCUUCCAUACAAGCAUUUCUUCAAGUCCUUAAGGUUUCUUGGAAGAGUUUCAUGAGUUAUUUUCACAUGUAGCUGCAUACUGUAUAGAGAAAUAGAUUGGUUGCAAGAAAAACUGCUUCUAUGGUACUUCCAACUUAGUCAAGAAACACUGGCUUUGUCACAAGCAAGCUUUUUAUCUUGAGAUUGCAAGUCUUGAUUUCUCAACUGAAGGAGCUCAGAUAAGCUACAGAGAAAGCAGCUCCACUCUGUGCUAUCUUUACUCCUCUUUUGAUGUUCUCCUCUCGCUGCACCUGGGUAGCUCAGCGCUGCCUCUUGUUGCAUCUCCUGUAACCUUUACAAAAUAACAGCUUUCGUGUAAUCUCUGCUGCAAGUCACCUUCCCCUCCAGCAAGGGCCAAAGUGAACAAGGAAUUUCCCCUGGAGGGAAGUUCGUAAGGAGAGUCACAGACAGUGGCCCAAUUCUGAGCAGUCAAUCAGUUACAUUUUUCUUUCACCUGAGUGUAGCUUUGUUACAAUCACAAAAAGGGAGUGAUUUAAUCAUUACUUGUGCCUUCACAACUCUCAUUUCAAUGGGGAAAAUCUUGGGGUGUCUUAGCUUUGGUUGCUUGUAUCACCCAGUUUGUAUUGUUGACUAAACAAAUACUAGAUGUUUAAAGAAUUAAAAUUUAUUUAGAGUCUUAUUGAGGAUUAUAUUUUGGAAAAAUUGUCUAGAGAUACGUUUUGUUAGACUUUUUUAAUGCAGCUUAAAUUAUAGUUUUUAUGUAGGGAGUGAAGAUCCAGCAUGUAUAAAAUUAUAUUAAAAUUUGGGCCUAAGAGUAUAUUUGGUUAUAGUUUGCGGGGGCAUAAUUGUUGAUUUUGGCAGGCAUGAUUUUAUGUGUAAGAACAGGUAAGGACCAAGUUCAUUUAUUUUUUAAGGAAUGUAAUGUCUUAGGCAAGAGAUGUGGGGAGCUGUGUGCCCUAUCUUGUUUAUGUCUUUAAGGCAUUAUUUUGGAGAUCCAUACUUAGUAACAGAAUCAGGGAGACUAAAAUUAUGUUGGCAAGUAAACAUGACUUCUUAUAUUUGUUACUUUUUUGUCAAAUAUUUGGAAAAAACAAAAGGAGUUUUACUGAGAACAUGAAGAAUUAAAUAAGAGAUUGUGCAUCUCCACUUGUCGAAGAAUCCUGAAACAUGUUCUAGGACGUGCUUCAUUCAUCCUCAUGCUAAUUAUGAUAUUAAGAAGAGGGAAGGAGCCGGGCAUGGUGGCUCAUGCCUGUAAUCUCAGCACUUUGGAAGGCUGAGGUGGGUAGAUCGCUGGAGGUCAGGAGUUCAAGACCAACCUGGCCAAUAUGGUGAAACCCCAUCUCUACUAAAAAUACAAAAAUUAGCUGGGCAUAGUGGUGUGCACCUGUAAUCCCAGCUACUUGGGAGGCUGAGGCAGGAGAAUUGCUUGAACCUGGGAGGCGGAAGUUGCAGUGAGCCGAGACUGCACCAUUGCACUCCAGUCUGGGCGACAAGAGUGAAACUUAGUCUCAAAAAAAAUUAAAAAUACAAAAAAAAAAGGAAUUAAGAUUCUUUAUUCUUAAGAAACUGUUAGGUGUAACUAGAUAAUACAUCAAAGUAUACCGAGUUCAUUAGACAAUGUUAUUUUGAUAAGGAAUACUCUAAAUUUUCUGAAAGAAAAAUGGCUAUCCAUUUGUUUUUCUUAGCAUUUUAGUGCCUGCUAUGUGCUAUACCACAAGUUAGGUUGCGAUGAUGUAAAAAUCAAUUGUAUGUGCAUUUCCACAAGGAGAUUGGAUUUAGAUUUGUGAAUAGGAUUAAUGGGGAAUGUAUCCCUAGCAAAUGGGCUUUGAUUUGAGGGAAGCAGAAUAUGGGUACAACUGAUUGUAUGGGUAAAAUGUAAUGGGAAGAUAGAGAAAGGACACUGUUAGUUGGGUAAUUGUUAAUGGAGAUAGUGGUACUUAAGCUGGAAGUGCAGUUAGAAUAUUGAAGACUAGAUCAGGUCAGAAAUGAUGAGGCUCAGAAUUAGGGUUGUGGCAGUGAAAAGUGAGAACGGGGCAGACAGAUGUUGCAGAAUGAGGUCAAAAGGAUUUGAUGAUUCCAUUGGAUGGAGAGAAGUGAGGGAGCGGAGUUUAAAGACGUUUAGAAGAUGAUGGUGCUUUUCACUGACUCCCAGAACUGGGAGAAGUACUGAUUUGAAAUGAAGGGAUUGGGGCAAGAGAGGGGUAAGUAUUAUGGGUGUGAAAGGAGAGAAGAUGAGGAUAUGUUGAGCUUACAGUGUUGAAGAAGCUGAACAGUUAGAACUGAGACAUCUUUUAGGUAAGAUUUCUUUGAAAAUGUAUAUUUAGAAAAUACUUUGCAGGGUGGUGAUAUUUAAAGCCAUAGAAGCAAAACAAAUGGUCCAUUGAGAGCGAAGGGCCAAGAGAGGGCUAAGAACAACUUUGAGGAAUGCCUUUCUCCACUUACAGGAUGCAUAAAGGGAGAGAUACCUUAGAAGGAACAGUUCAAACCAUAGUAGUAGUGUCAGAAGAGUAAAAAUCACAGAUGUCAGGGUUGACAGCAGGUUUAACAAAAAGGAAAUGAUCAACUAUGUCAAAUAAUUGAGAGAAGUGAACCAGAUGAAAGUUAAGUAGAAACCACUGGAGCUGAAGUCUAUAAGUUCAGGGCUGACCUAGAGAGCAGGUCUAGAGUAUUUUGGAGUGAUGGGAACAGAUGCCUAUUGCCAUAAGCCAACAUGUAAAUAGGAAUUGGGAACUAUGAAUUUAGUUGGGAUUGUUGGGGGAAAAGGCAGAGGAAUAAGGUUUCUCAAGGCUUUUUUUCCCCAGUUGGAUAUUUUGCAGAGGGAAACUUGAUCAUAAAAUAGUUUUCACAUCUAAUUUCUAAUAUCUGAACUAUCUGUAUUUCUAUUUUUAGUUAAUUCAAGAGCUUCUUGGUUCCUCUUAUCUAAAAUAUUACAAUGAUUAACUUUUGAAGAAAACUGACUGUGCUAAAGUAUCUAAAAGAUCACUCAGAGUAACUUCUGAAGAAAAUUGGGUUAAAGGUGAAAAAGCCUCCUUCUCCAAGAAUUUUGCCAGUCCUUAAGGAAGACCAGUAAUUUAAAUUUUCUUUUUAUGAUUUUUACCUUGAAGAAACUUUUCCACAUUUAAAUCAAAUGAUUUUAAAUUAAGCGUGUUUGGGAGCUGGUGUUAAAGAAGGGCUGAUAACUCUGAGACACUAAAGCUUGUUCCAUAUUAGCAGCUUUUUUGAAAAUAUCCUUGGUUGGGAGCUGCUACCCUGAUUCUCACUCCACAUAUAAUAAGAGUUUUGCUCUGCCUACUAUAAUUUAUAUAGCAAAACCCAAGGAACAUAUACUAGAUGCAUUGAAAAAUAUGACGCCCUGUAAAACAAGACUUAGGACAAGUGUUACAGAAGGCUUUGAUUCCAAAUCCUAAUUAUUGGAUGGCAAACAAUACACCAAGUACACUAUAAUAAUGUUCUUCAAAGUUUUCCACUUACAUGUCCCCUAAAGUGAUUAUUACAAGGAUGUAUUAUCUUGAAUAUUUUUUUCAUUAAAAUCUAACAUUUUUCAUCCUAAGUUUAAAUAAUUGCAAAGGACAUUCUAAUACUUUAAAUUAUUUCAAGAAUAACAUCAAUACCAUAGUGAUUUGAUACCCUGUUGUCUGUUUUUAAAAAUGCAUGGAAGCUCAUCAUUAAUAGCAAGAACUUCUACGUUUUUUCCCCUUGAACUCCUAUUUUUAUUAGACUUUCUUCCUUAGAAGUUUAUCCUAAAGUAAUGUAUUCAAUGAUACAAAGCAAUUGUGUUUCUCUACAGCAAAAUAAGUAUAUAUGUUGAAGUUAUUGUUGAUGAAACAAAAAUAUAUCACAUAUUUUGAUAAAGCUAAUAAAACAUUUAAGUUUUAUUGAAAAUUAGGUUCUGAGAAAGGGUUUCAGUUUUUAAAAAAUUUAGUUAUCACUGGAUAGAUGUUAUUCCUAAUAAAUUCAGCAUCAAUUUAGUCCUCUUUCUCAAUUAUAUGUGUGUAGACACCAAGAAACUUUUUCACAAUCAAAUGUAAAUUGCAAUUAUUUUAGUGAUACUCAGAGAUACUCAGUUUUUUGAAUUUUUAAAAAGUUCAUUAUAUGCCAAAAAAAAAAAACAUAGAUCUCUGUCUCAAAAUUAUUAGGUCCUUCUUUGUAUUUUUUGAAACAAUCUGACUUAUAUAAGGAUUUAUUACCCAGCUGUUACAAUCAUUCAUUUUUUAAUUUCUGAGAAGUAUGCCAGAAAAUGAUUACUGGCUUGAUGAGGAGAAAAAUCUGUAAAGCUCUUGUUGCAUAUAUUGUCAAAUUGCUUUUUAGGAAAGUCAUACUAAUUUAUACUUCCAUCAAUGACAGUUGAGUGAUAAUCUCAAUGUCUUCUCACCAUCAUUUUCUUUAAUAUUCAUUAAUUUCAUGGGUGAAGAAAUGACAUUUUGCUGUUUUAAUUUGCAUUUCAUGGAUAACUAAUGAGGCUAAUAAUGUCUCAUAUGUUUGUUAGUGAAUUCAUAAAACCAGGGGAGAUAUCUUUUUAUAUUAUUUGUUUCUCUGUUACAGUACUAGUUAUAUAUACUCUAUAACAAAUAUAUAAACUGUAUAUUUAGGACCCUUAGAUUUAUCAUAUUUGCACAUUGAAUGAGUAUGUAUAAUAGAGAAUAGAAAUGUUAUAGAAGAGCACCUGGCCCGCAGUAAAUAAUGUAUAAGUCAACCAAACUCAGCAGCAUUGUUAUUACAAUGAUAAAUAUUUCUUCCAAUUUGACUUUAAAUGUUUUUAUUUUAACAUAAUGCUGCCUUUUUUUUUUGCCUUGGUGUUCCAGAGUUCUUCUGAGCUGAGAGAUUAUUAUUCAAUAAAGAAGGUGUUAUGAACUGUUUUUAUUUCCCCAAUAUUCAUUUGUUAAUUUGGAAAUGAGGGCUUUGGGAGAUAAUUAGGGUUAGGUGAGGUUAUAAGGGUGGGUCUCUUAGGACUAGUGGCUUUUCUUUUUAAUAUGCAAGAUUUCAUCAUGAAUUAGUGGCCUUAUGAUGGGAAGAAAGAGAGAUCUCCCUUCUUCUUAAUGUGUAUGCAUCAAGGAGGAAAGGUAAAGUAAGAAGGCAGCUGUCUGCAAGCCAGGGAAAGAGUCCUCACCAGGAACUGAAUUAUCCAGCACCUUUAUCUCAUGCUUCCUAGUCUCCACAACUGUGAGGAUCAAUUUCUGUUGUUUAAAUCAUCCAUUUGGCAUUCUGUUAUGGUAGCCUGAGAUGAUUACUAUAGAAGGCUUCCUUAGAAAUUAUGAACUAUUUGUCCUUGGAAAGUUGGUAUAGUUACAAAUAAUGUUGAUCCUCAUCCUCUCCUUGAACAUGUUGAUUUAUGCAUAGGAAUUACUAGGCAAAUAGAAUUUUCUUUUAGCCAUUUUUAACUUGAGAUUUCAUAUCAGUUUUUUUUCCCUAAGAAGUUAAAUGAUAUUUAAAAAUGGUCUAUUUAUGUCAAAAUAUAUACACAUAAACCUUUUUUUCCAUUCAAGUUUGUUUUAUUUAUUUUUUUGUUUCUGUUUUUUUGUUUUGUUUUUUUUUUAAUUUAAUUUUAUUAUUAUUAUACUUUAAGUUUUAGGGUACAUGUGCACAAUGUGCAGGUUUGUUACAUAUGUAUACAUGUGCCAUGUUGUUGUGCUGCACCCAUUAACUCGUCAUUUAGCAUUAGGUAUAUCUCCUAAUGCUAUCCCUCCCCCAUCCCCCGACCCCACAACAGUCCCCAGAGUGUGAUGUUCCCCUUCCUGUGUCCAUGUGUUCUCAUUGUUCAAUUCCCACCAGUGAGUGAGAACAUGCGGUGUAUGGUUUUUUGUCCUUGCGAUAGUUUGCUGAGAAUGAUGGUUUCCAGUUUCAUCCAUGUCCCUACAAAGGACAUGAACUCUUCAUUUUUUAUGGCUGCAUAGUAUUCCAUGGUGUAUAUGUGCCACAUUUACUUAAUCCAGUCUAUCAUUGUUGGACAUUUGGGUUGGUUCCAAGUCUUUGCUAUUGUGAAUAGUGCCGCAAUAAACAUAUGUGUGCAUGUGUCUUUAUAGCAGCAUGAUUUAUAAUCCUUUGGGUAUAUACCCAGUAAUGGGAUGGCUGGGUCAAAUGGUAUUUCUAGUUCUAGAUCCCUGAGGAAUGGCCACACUGACUUCCACAAUGGUUGAACUAGUUUACAGUCCCGCCAACAGUGUAAAAGUGUUCCUAUUUCUCCACAUCCUCUCCAGCACCUGUUGUUUCCUGACUUUUUAAUGAUCGCCAUUCUAACUGGUGUGAGAUGGUAUCUCAUUGUGGUUUUGAUUUGCAUUUCGCUGAUGGCCAGUGAUAAUGAGCAUUUUUUCAUCUAUUUUUGGGCUGCAUAAAUAUCUUCUUUUGAGAAGUGUCUGUUCAUAUGCUUUGCCCACUUUUUGAUAGGGUUGUUUGUUUUUUUCUUGUAAAUUUGUUUGAGUUCAUUGUAGAUUCUGGAUAUUAGCCCUUUGUCAGAUGAGUAGGUUGCAAAUACUUUCUCCCAUUUUGUAGGUUGCCUGUUCACUCUGCUGAUAGUUUCCUUUGCUGUGCAGAAGCUCUUUAGUUUAAUUAGAUCCCAUUUGUCAAUUUUGGCUUUUGUUGCCAUUGCUUUUGGUGUUUUAGACAUGAAGUCCUUGCCCAUGCCUAUGUCCUGAAUGGUAUUGCCUAGGUUUUCUUCUAGGGUUUUUAUGGUUUUAGGUCUAAGAUUUAAGUCUUUAACCAUCUUGAAUUAAUUUUUGUAUAAGGUGUAAGGAAGGGAUCCAGUUUCAGCUUUCUACAUAUGGCCAGCCAGUUUUCCCAGCACCAUUUAUUAAAUAGGGAAUCCUUUCCCCAUCUCUUGUUUUUGUCAGGUUUGUCAAAGAUCAGAUGGUUGUAGAUAUGUGGCAUUAUUUCUGAGAGCUCUGUUCUGUUCCAUUGAUCUAUAUCUCUGUUUUGGUACCAGUACCAUGCUGUUUUGGUUACUGUAGCCUUGUAGUAUAGUUUGAAGUCAGGUAGCAUGAUGCCUCCAGCUUUGUUCUUUUGGCUUAGGAUUGACUUGGCGAUGUGGGCUCUUUUUUGGUUUCAUAUGAACUUUAAAGUAGUUUUUUCCAAUUCUGUGAAGAAAGUCAUUGGUAGCUUGAUGGGGGUGGCGUUGAAUCUAUAAAUUACCUUGGGCAGUAUGGCCAUUUUCACGAUAUUGAUUCUUCCUACCCCUGGGCAUGGAAUGUUCUUCCAUUUGUUUGUAUCCUCUUUUAUUUCAUUGAGCAGUGGUUUGUAGUUCUCCUUCAAGAGGUCCUUCACAUCCCUUGUAAGUUGGAUUCCUAGGUAUUUUAUUCUCUUUGAAGUGAUUGUAUACACAUAAACUUAUGGACACAUGAGUGAUAGUCAAAUUUCAAUCACUAAUGUGGCAUGAGCACUGACCCACCAGAAUGGCCAUGGUAAUUCACCAUGGAGCAGUAUUGCAUCAUCCUGAGUGAGAGUGAAGAAGAAUUGAGGUAGAGGGAAACUGAUAGAUGUGUUUGAGAUUUUAAAAUUAUUUCUCAAACUUUUACACCAAAAUAUAUCCUGGUACAUGUGCAACUUCUAUGGCUCUGUCAGACUCAUUUAAUAGGAAACUACCCACAGAAGAAAAUAAGGAAAACGAAUUCUGUAGGUAGAGAAAUGUAAUGACUAAGAUUUUAAAUGUUAUGACUAAGAUACAUGUUUAGUUGAUAAAAAUUAAUAAAAAUAAGAAACUUUCCUUCCUAGGGCAGCAUAAGAUCAUUUCAGAAUGAAGAUGCUUUGGGAUCUGACUUCGGACUGUAAGAAUGACAAACUCUGAAUGGGUGCAAAGGUAGCAGAUGACCUUCAAAGGAUGGUGAGAUUAAAUUUACCUACACCUAGAGAAAUAAUUGGAGCACAUGUCUAUUUGGGCCAAGAGGAUAAAGGCCAGUAGAGGAAUCAGAUCAAAGAACUUCCUCAGGGAAGUGUGCAGAGAACUGGAGUGGACCUUCCCCUAGGAAGCUGCCCAAAACGAGAGUGCUGGAAAGCUGGCCGCAGUGAGGCACUUCAGAUCCCAAGGGUAUGCUGGGGAAGCUGCCACAGGUGGGAGCACUUGCUGCUGGACCCUAGGCACUGUUGAAACAACUGCACCAUCUGCAGGAGCCCAGCAAGCCAAAGCCAGGCAUCCCAUCUGGAGAGAGAGAAGACUGAAGCAGAAACACAAUGGGAAGGAAGCAAAGAUGGAGGUAGAAUAGCUGCCACGAGCCCUGAUAGUUUCAGGCCUUGACUGCAUGUCCUUAGGAUCUCAGGCUUCUCUGUUUUUCCUUUGGGUUCCAUGAAAAACCCCGAUAUUUUGGUAAUAAACACCCUUGGGUUGCUUUGCCUGGCUUGAAGAUUUUGCUUACAAACUAAAGAACUGUGGACAAGAUACACUUCUUGUCUCAAGAGGGCCUGUAUAUUUUAGGAUUUAACUGCGUGUACAUGGAAAGAAAGGUCAGGAACGUUGGUUUUACCUCUCUUCUCGAUGAGAACAGCACUGGGCUCCCAAUCACUACUUAACCUUUAUCCUGCAAGUUCUAGUUUUUAAAAUAAUUGAAAAGUUAGAAAAGUAAUAUAGGAUUUUACUUUUGGAAAGUAUUGAACCUAAUGAGAAUGUUUUAAAUUUAAAAUGUAUGUUUUCAGGACCUCCUGGCUUGGUGACUUUGGACAAGUCACUUAAUUGUUUUAAGCCUCUGUUUUUUCAUAUCUAAAAUGGGGUUGAUAACAGUGCUGUCACAAAGGACUGUUGAGGGCAUUUACUAGAAAAUUGUGUCUGCUAGGCACAGUACAGGGCCUGGCACAUGGCUCGCAGAUCUAUCAGUUAGAACCGAAUAUUGCAAGUGAGAGGAAACUCCAAUAUUGGCUUUAACAACACAAUAACUAUCCUGGUGCACGUAGGUGAAAAGGGCGGAGUUAUGACAGGCUUCAGAUGAGGUUUUACCGGAGAUGUAGUUUCUCCAUUCUGCCUUUUGCAAUGUCAUCUUCAUCCUCAGGAUGCAUCCCAUGGUCUUUUGGCAGAUCUGGGCUCUCCCUACUUAGUAGCAAAUCAGAUACAACAGUUCCAACUGUCACAUCCUUAUGCACACUAUGCUUUAGCUCAGGAGAGGGGUGCAUCAUUUCAAACUAGCCUUACCAAAAACUUCACUGGCUCUGAUUAGAUUCCUUAUCACCUCAAGCAUUGUAGGCAGGAGGCGGAAUGGAAUUCACUUAUUGGAUUACUAGCAUCCAGUUCUGGCAUAGGGAUGGUGAAAGGAAUAGGUCCCUAAGGGUGGCUCAUGCCUGUAAUCCCAGCAUUUUGGGAGGCUGAGGCAGGCAGAUCACCUGAGGUCGGGAGUUCGAGACCAGCCUGACCAACAUGGAGAAACCCCGUCUCUACUAAAAGUACAAAAAUUAGUCAGGCAUGGUGGCACAUGCCUGUAAUCCCAGCUGCUAGGGAGGCUGAGACAGGAGAAUCACUUGAACCCAGGAGGUGGAGGUUGCGGUGAGCCGAGAUUGUGCCAUUUCACUCCAGCCUGGGCAACAAGAGAGAAACUACAUCUCAAAAAAAAAAAAAAAAAAAAAAAAAGAGAAGAAAAUAUAAGGAACUCUUUCCAGAAGUAAAGAGAAUAGAUUUGAGGCAGUUGUCUUCUACAGUGCAAAACAUUCAAGAAAUGUACCUUUCUUUCACCUUAAAAAGAUUUUUUUAAGAACCCAUACAAAAUAGUAUAUUAUUUUAUCCAGUAUUAUAAUUAUGCAUGAGCUACUACAAUUGCUGCAUACAUUUUUGUGAGUUUAUGUCUGAAUGUGAUUUUUACAAUUGGAUCUUAAGAAAUGUCUUAUUCUUAACCCAAAGGUCGAUCUGAACAAAUCUUUCUUUGUAUUUUAUUUGCCUUUAAAAAAUUCUUUUAUGGGGGCUCUACUCUUCAGAGUCUGCUAAGGAAAUGAGAUUUUGGCAAUGUUUUAAUUCAAAAAAAGAACUCCUAGUUUUACUGUGCUGGAUCUGGUUGUCUUUAGUUUCCAUUAUAUUCCUGUUCCAUUAUUCCUUCAAUAACUUUGUUCUCCCAUGACUCUUCUUUAUUGUUACCACAUUUUUUCUGUUCUUUUCAGAGAUGAGUUUUUGGAUUCAACUGAAGCCCUUGCUAUCUGCUAGAGUCAGAGUCAUCACAAUUGGGGGGUCUUCAUUAAGCUACACUUUUUAAUGGAACAUCCUAGUGAGGUUUGAGAGUACAGCUUUAUGGUCUAUAUUACAUUACUAAGCCGAUUUUAUUGGGUUAGUCUAUACGUUUUACAAAUUUGUUAUUCUAAUCUCCCCGAAGAAAUAAUUUCCUUAUUGAUCCCUUUCUUUUUCCCCCAUUUUAUUUUCCCAUAUUUUGUGAUAUCCUCUACUUCAACUUUAAAAAAUUAUAACCAUAGAAAGAAAUACAUUUUACAUUAUGACCCAGUGUGUAUACUCACAGAAACAUAUUCAUAUAGAAAACAAGUUUCACGAAACAAUACUUCCUCUGUACAGUGCACUUUGGUGUUGUUAUUGUGUUCUAUUCUAUUCAUUUUCUUCCAUCCUACUAUGUUAUAAAAGUUGCUCUUUUACAAAUCUGUAAUUUGAUCUUAUGACCCACUGACAUGUCUCAACAUACCAUUUGAAAAUUAUUGCUAAACUGUACUUUCUCACUAGUGAUAUUGUACAUCCAGGGUUUAUGAUUGUGUUCAAGAGAAUUCUUGUCUUUGUAAGGCAAAAAUGGCAAAUAUGUCUAUUUCCAUCUAAAAGAGCAUUAUACAAAAUAAAAUUAUUAAGAGUUUCCACUUAAUAGCUGCACUGUUUAGAGCCCACUGGAAGCACAUCAAGUGAGUAUGCAUGCCAAUUAAUGAAAACCAGAUAAAUUAUAUGAUUCAGUUACUCAUUUUGUUAACUACCCAACACAGUGAUGAUGAACACCUUGAUUGUUUUGACUGUUAUGAAGUAAUUUCUGCACAUCUGCCUCACCAGAUCCAUAAUUUACAUUCAGCUCCCUCACCAGAUCCAUAAUUUACAUUCAUCUCAUUAUAUGAGGCAUCAUGAUUACCACUAAUACAUUAAAAACCAACUUAUAAAAGAAAAUAAAAUUUUAAAUUGUAUUCAGUUUAUAUUUUAUUUACUGGGACUAAACACUUCAUAGCAACAAUGUGUUAUUUUUGAGAAGUGUCUAUACAUAGUAGUGUAAACAUUUAUUUUAAUUAUCAUUAAGAAUCAAAAAAUGAAGAGUAUCUAAAUAAUCCAAUUGAUAUUUUAAGGAAUAAAAAUAUAAGAAUUACAAACAUCAGAUCAUGAAGUUAGUUUUGGUCCAUUUUUGAUUCCACAACACAUUGUUAAAAUGUCAAUGAAAAUAUUAAUAUUCAUUUGGUAUAAGACCAAACAAAAGUAAUUUAUAAAUACAUUUUCUUUUAUUUACAUAUUUAAAUGAAAGGGACUAUCACCUUUAAAAUGGGAAAAGCCUAAAUAUCUCUUUCUUUCUGCCUCUUCCUCCCAUCCUUCUACCCUUCUGUCCUCCAUCUCCAUCUGUUUAUGUACAAAGAAGUUAACUGGCCUAUUCUACACCUCUUGAAAGAUGUAUGAACCAUCAUUUGUUUAUUUAAAUGAGUCCUUGGUAGUUCUAACCCUGGAACAUAUUCUACAGAGUUGCCAGUGCAAAAUAUAGCACAAUGACUCAUCAGCACCUAAAAUUUGUAGCAUCUGCUUGGUGAAUUUUGAUUUGAAACUCGUACUUGAUAUUGUGUUUCUUUUCUGUUCACCAUGUGUUAAUAUGUGUGGUGUAUUUUCCUCCAUAAGCAGUUAACAGUUUCUAAUGUGGAUACUUCAGUUUCAGGGAUGAUUGCCCAUCUCCCUGAGGUGCCCAUUAGGGUGCCCCAAUGAAUCCCAUAGUGUUGUAUAGUUUGCAUUUUAAUUCAGCUAAUCCAAAACACGUUCUCCAAAUUCGGUGAAAGUCUGUUCAGAUAUUUCUUUUAUGAUGUUGAAGUCAAUAAUUUUAUUUAAGUUACCUGUAAGAUAAUAGACUUUAGGUAUUAUAUAAAUUAAUUACAUAAAAUGAUCUUAAAUAAUAUGCUGACAUAAUUUUUUUUACUUAAAACUCUUGUUUUGUCCUAUGUAAUUCAAAAGUAACAAAAUGAUUUAAAAAUUCUGUUUUUUCAAUCCUUUAUUAUUAUUCAAGAGUUUGAGUGUCAAAGUCAGUCUACACUUCUGUAAAGAAAUAUAAAAAUCAGUGGUGUAUUUGGCUACAGGUAAUCUGUUCUUGGCUCCAACAUUACUAAACAGAUGACUGGAUGUGUGUGUGUGUGUGUGUGUGUGUGUGUGUGUGUGUGUGUGUCUAGAAGCUGAGGCUAACAGGAGAGGGUAAUUGCCCAUAAAAGUGAAAUAAAAAGCCAAAAUUCUUCUCUUAAGCUUAAGCUUUUUCCCUCCUUAGCAUUACUUCAUAAGAAAUGUAGCAGUGGAAACAUAAGGUUGGCAUGUUUAGAAAAUUCAAUCAUAAAUAAAAACAUUGUGUGAACUGGUUUUUAGUUUUGAAUUAACCUGGGCAAAUUCAGCUGGUUACUCCUUUUCCCUUUUUCCCAGUUUUCAAAGUUAAAAAAUUUAUGACUCUCAGGCAAAGAUAGUGUGAACUCAUGUCAAAGAUUUUAUUUAACUUAAUCCAUGAGGGAACCCAUAAAAUGUUAAAACUUGUAUAAGAAUUUGAGAAGCUACACACACACACAUACACACACAUGCACACACACACACUCUCACACAUUUCAUAAAAGAAUAUUAGGAUAAGAUUUCUCGAUACAAAACUGUUACCUUUGGGGUUAUCUCUCCGCCAGAAAGAACUUGUUUGCAUCCCUGCUAGACAAAAACCUACAAGUUAACCUUUGCCCGUAUGGAGUUGUAAAACAGACCAGUUGAUAGAAAGAGAAGCCUGCUUCCCGAAGCCCUCAGCAGAAGCCGAGCAGAUGUUGGCACCAUGCUUCUUGUACAGCCUGCAGAACUUGAAGAAACACUCCAUAUUAGUUUUCUGGAGCCAUCGUUAUGAAGCAACACAGACUGGGUGGCAUAAACAAUGGAGAUUUAUUUUUUCACAAUUCCGGAGGCUAGAAGUUUGAGAUCAAGGUGUUGGAAAGUGUCUCAGGAUGAUACAUACCGGUUUUUAACUUUGGUGUCAUCAAAUGCAAUUGCAAUGUGACUGUUUCUUGAAAGCCCGAACUGCUUGCUCCCUAUCAAAAGAGCUGGUUCUGAUUCUGCAGCACAAGGACCCUGUAAAAUACCCAGGAGAGAAAAACAGGAGAUUAUGGACUGUUCUUUAAAAAGGUAAUGAUGCUGUCUAAUUGUUUCUUACAUAUUAGCGUAAUUCUUUAAGAAUAAAAACUACAUUAUUCAUCUCUGUA